GGGCGUGUGGUGUAGAGGUAUCACGUCUGCUUCGCAUGCAGAAGGCCUCGAGUUCAAUUUUCGGCACGUCCA
Molecule: non-coding RNA, 72 nt
Organism: Perkinsus marinus ATCC 50983
Lineage: Eukaryota; Perkinsozoa; Perkinsida; Perkinsidae
Source: Rfam